ACAGGUUAAUAUUCCUGUACUUGGUGUUACUGCGAAGGGGGGACGGAGAAGGCUAUGUUGGCCGGGCGACGGUUGUCCCGGUUUAAGCGUGUAGGCUGGUUUUCCAGGCAAAUCCGGAAAAUCAAGGCUGAGGCGUGAUGACGAGGCACUACGGUGCUGAAGCAACAAAUGCCAUGCUUCCAGGAAAAGCCUCUAAGCAUCAGGUAACAUCAAAUCGUACCCCAAACCGACACAGGUGGUCAGGUAGAGAAUACCAAGGCGCUUGAGAGAACUCGGGUGAAGGAACUAGGCAAAAUGGUGCCGUAACUUCGGGAGAAGGCACGCUGAUAUGUAGGUGAAGCGACUUGCUCGUGGAGCUGAAAUCAGUCGAAGAUACCAGCUGGCUGCAACUGUUUAUUAAAAACACAGCACUGUGCAAACACGAAAGUGGACGUAUACGGUGUGACGCCUGCCCGGUGCCGGAAGGUUAAUUGAUGGGGUCAGCGCAAGCGAAGCUCUUGAUCGAAGCCCCGGUAAACGGCGGCCGUAACUAUAACGGUCCUAAGGUAGCGAAAUUCCUUGUCGGGUAAGUUCCGACCUGCACGAAUGGCGUAAUGAUGGCCAGGCUGUCUCCACCCGAGACUCAGUGAAAUUGAACUCGCUGUGAAGAUGCAGUGUACCCGCGGCAAGACGGAAAGACCCCGUGAACCUUUACUAUAGCUUGACACUGAACAUUGAGCCUUGAUGUGUAGGAUAGGUGGGAGGCUUAGAAGUGUGGACGCCAGUCUGCAUGGAGCCGACCUUGAAAUACCACCCUUUAAUGUUUGAUGUUCUAACGUUGACCCGUAAUCCGGGUUGCGGACAGUGUCUGGUGGGUAGUUUGACUGGGGCGGUCUCCUCCUAAAGAGUAACGGAGGAGCACGAAGGUUGGCUAAUCCUGGUCGGACAUCAGGAGGUUAGUGCAAUGGCAUAAGCCAGCUUGACUGCGAGCGUGACGGCGCGAGCAGGUGCGAAAGCAGGUCAUAGUGAUCCGGUGGUUCUGAAUGGAAGGGCCAUCGCUCAACGGAUAAAAGGUACUCCGGGGAUAACAGGCUGAUACCGCCCAAGAGUUCAUAUCGACGGCGGUGUUUGGCACCUCGAUGUCGGCUCAUCACAUCCUGGGGCUGAAGUAGGUCCCAAGGGUAUGGCUGUUCGCCAUUUAAAGUGGUACGCGAGCUGGGUUUAGAACGUCGUGAGACAGUUCGGUCCCUAUCUGCCGUGGGCGCUGGAGAACUGAGGGGGGCUGCUCCUAGUACGAGAGGACCGGAGUGGACGCAUCACUGGUGUUCGGGUUGUCAU
Molecule: ribosomal RNA, 1317 nt
Filed under: Escherichia coli
Lineage: Bacteria; Pseudomonadati; Pseudomonadota; Gammaproteobacteria; Enterobacterales; Enterobacteriaceae
Description: partial 23S ribosomal RNA
Rfam family: Bacterial large subunit ribosomal RNA
Source: RNAcentral